UGCAGAGUAAAUGUGGUCCAGAGUCCAGUUAUAAUGCAGUUGGGUGCUGGCACAUUGUCUUUGCAGGGUACAGAUAAAAGUACUGUUUGGUAAAUGGAACACCCCCUUUAGAGACCUACAGGUCUACAGAUAUAAAACAAUUAACAGUCACCAGUCAGCCUAACUUGGACAAGUUAUCCAAGUUAUAAACUCACUCAGACACAAGGAGAACAUGCAGACUCAGAAAAGCACAGAAAAGCCCAGGGUUUGAACCCAGAAGUUUCUUGCUGUGAAGCAGCAGUGCUGACACCCUGAUUCAAAUACUUAGGACAAAAUAUGUUCCACUGUUUGUCAGGCUGCACAUGCUGUGAAGCUCAAGAAUCUGAAUAUAUUCUGUGGAUAAUUAUUUUGAAGUAACAGCGGAGUACAGUGGAGAGGCUUCGCUGCUUGCUCUUGCCUUUGCUUGCAUAUUUUUACUGAUAUUCUUGUUUUUUUGCUGCGAGAAAAUACAAGCAGUGGCUGAAACUCUAAUUUUUGUGGACAUAGGUGGCUGUUGCAAUAUUUCAAUAUUUUGUAUGACCUCCUCAGUACAGUGUGAGCAUGGCCUACCAACAGCAUAAGCCUGCAUUGCAGUGACUGGAUGCAUAGUACUUAGCCAAGGCUAAUUAACAGCAAGAUGCCCGUCUUCUCCAUUUUUUCAGAAGACUGAGCUGGAAACCAAAAUUCACUGGUUAGAAAAGAAAACAGAGGACACAGCCAUGGAUGACAGUGAAUAGGAGAACAGAUUUGCUCUCCUAAUGCAGGACCCGUCUGAUGACCUGCAUAACCUUUCAUCCUCACAGGAGAGGUUAAGGACUGAGAGUAAAUCAGAAAAUAAAAAGCUCUGGUUGUGGGUGACUUUGCUUUAAAAAAUGUGAGAAGAAAUGGCAGUAAAAACACCAAAGUACUCUGUUUUCUCUGACAUGAUGGAAAGAAUUUGGUAUAUUGUGGCUGCACAUCCAACUGAAAAACUUCACACUGCACACGGACAAAUGAUGUUGUAGCAGCAGUCUGAAAUUCUGAGAAGAGACUUUGAUCUGCUGAAACCAGUCAGCUCUCUGAAUGCUGAGGUGGUCAUCAGCAGCCUUCUACCACCAGUCAGAGGAGGAGCUGAGAGAUUCAUCAGAUUGUUGGCACUGAACACAUGGUUGUUAACUGUAUAUACCAUCCAUUCAGUGAACCUAAUUGACAAUUUCAACUUUUCUGGGACCAAAGACAUUUGAAGGCAGAUGGACUUUGCCUUAACAAAUCAGGAGUAAAGCUCUUCAUCUCUAUCCUGUUUUUCUUCCUGAGUCACCCAUCUGUACCCACUGCCAAGGGCAGGAGGAAUCAAAACGGGAAGAAGACACAAGUUGCAGAAACCCUGAAGGUGAAUCACCCCAGCCACUGUUUGAAGUAAGUGUUAAUCAUGAGAAACAUCAGAGCAAAGAGAAAGAAGAUUCUAUAACCCCCAACCCAACAGCUGUCCGUGAGGAUCGCCCUCCUCUCCAGGUAGUUUCCCCCUCCUCCCCCCUCCUAGAGUUCACUGACAGAGCUGCAAAAGAGCAGAUCUUAAUUGAGCAUUCAUUCCUUGUUAACCAAAGUCUAUCCCACCAAACUGGACAGACAAUGCUUUCAACACAUUAAACUUAACUAUAUUAAACACUAGGUCUUUGGCAGGAAAAAACUUUUUUUUUAAAUUCAAUCAAUGAUUUUAUUAUCAAGUACAACCUUGAGUGUAUGCUUUUAAAGACAGCAGUCCAGCUGUUCUUAUCAAGUCAAUGUCUCCCAACUUCAGUUUUAUGAGUGAAGCUAGAGUGCAUAAAAAAGGAGAUGGAGUUACCAUCUUGUUUAAUGAUUCCCUCCAAUGCAAGAAGACAUCUGAUGAAGUUUUGUUUCUUUUGAACAUGUGGCUCUUCAGUUGAAUUCCUUCUCUCAAGCUAUGUUCCUAAAUAUCUAAGGCCACCUAAAUACUUGUUGAUGGUGAUUUUAAUAUCCUUGUUGACAAGCCCCAGGACAGAGACACUAAAGAACUGUGCAGUGGUUGGAUAACUAUGGACUAACUCAGCAAAUAUGUAAAUAUUUGCAGAAAAAGCAGAAUAUUCUAGAAGGUAUAAAGAGUAGAAAAAGCUGAAUAGAAGAAUAAAUGUUCUGUAAAAGCUGAACAUUUUGAUAGUAUGCAUUCUGACAGUAUGCAGGAGUAGUUAGUGACUGAAAAGUGGCAGAAGGAUAAAAAUAAAGAUUUCUGAACAAUAGUGUGAAUGCUGAGUCAGCAACUAAUCGCAAAUGUUAUUGAUGCUAUUGAACCCACCAAGGUGGAGGUGGUCCCUGAGAAGAAAAGAUCUCCAUGGAGAAAUGCCACACCGGUCAGAAUAGAAAAAAGGGAGUUGUGGAAAUCUGAAACAGGUGGCAAAAACCCUCCUGUGUCAUUAGGCUCUGAACUUCUGUUCAGCAGGGCCUGCAUUGAAUUUGCCUCCAUCUUCACUGAUAAGAUUAAGAAAAUUAGUCAGUCAGUGCCCCCAGGAUAUGUGUUGACCUUACCCUCUUAAAAUCAAUUACUGCCACUGCCUUUCAUUAAUCAUGGUAAUCACUCAUUUCUUAUACGGCACUGUAACUUUUGUAUUUUUAUUUUCCAUUCCACUUUUAUAUUUCUUAUUUUUAUUUUCCAUUUAACUCUUUAUUUAUUAAUUAAAUGCUUUUUUAUAUUGUCUUACAUUGCUUUUAGGUUUCGUCUCAAUGUCUUUUAUGUUAUGUAAAGCAAUUUGAAUGAUUUUGUUGUUGAAAUGUGCUGUACAAAUAAACUUGUCUUGCCUAAAUGUGGCUUAGAGUGAAGGGUCCUGGGAGAAAUGACACAACUCUAAAUUGUUUUCUAUUUGAAAUACAGAUGUAUCAUUUUAAACAAUGUAUUUAUGAUGAUGGUCUUGUGUCAUAAUGGACUGGGGACCAGAUUCAAAUGGCUCAUAACUAUGAAUACAAAGUAGAUGGAUGUGUUGAAUGUUAUAAUUAGUGACCAACCUGAAAUAGCACGUGUUUGUGGUGAUGACAGCACAUCACAGAGCUUCAUCAGGUUCAUGAAAAGACACAAAGACUUCUAUCAGUCUGAUGAAGCUCUGAGCAAAACAGCUGUUCUCAGUGCUAUUAAAGAACAUUUGUUUUUAUGUGUUGUUGCUACCACAGACACUGAACCACUGAAUGUGCUUUAUUUUUCAUGUUGCAGUUUCUUGUUCCUCCAGCUCUGCUCAUGCUGUAAAUGAAACUUUUUCUCUUUUUAACUAAGUAAUAUACUGUAUGUUUCUUUACUGUGUGUUCUUUCAUUUCCAUGUAGACUUUUACGUGAACUAAUGUACUUUUGUAAAAUUAUUUUAUAUAUUUUUUUGAAAAAGUGAGAGAAAAAUCUUGAGUCAAGGACCAUGUCAGUUGGUUCUAAGUAAAUACGGGUUAUUUUCUAACCUUGGUACUGACCUUAAGUCUGUCAUUUAUAGUCUCUUUGGAGGACAGAGAAAACAGGUUCUUUUGUGCUGAAAGCUAAUAAAAGCCCACAUACUGUGCCCUUUA
This is a long non-coding RNA of Lates calcarifer (barramundi perch), 3552 nucleotides long. RefSeq lists it as uncharacterized. Lineage: Eukaryota; Metazoa; Chordata; Actinopteri; Centropomidae. The transcript is spliced from 2 exons. The record is from RefSeq and is a predicted model, not a curated record.